GAGUUUGAUCAUGGCUCAGAUUGAACGCUGGCGGCAGGCCUAACACAUGCAAGUCGAGCGGUAGAGAGAAGCUUGCUUCUCUUGAGAGCGGCGGACGGGUGAGUAAUGCCUAGGAAUCUGCCUGGUAGUGGGGGAUAACGCUCGGAAACGGACGCUAAUACCGCAUACGUCCUACGGGAGAAAGCAGGGGACCUUCGGGCCUUGCGCUAUCAGAUGAGCCUAGGUCGGAUUAGCUAGUUGGUGAGGUAAUGGCUCACCAAGGCGACGAUCCGUAACUGGUCUGAGAGGAUGAUCAGUCACACUGGAACUGAGACACGGUCCAGACUCCUACGGGAGGCGGCAGUGGGGAAUAUUGGACAAUGGGCGAAAGCCUGAUCCAGCCAUGCCGCGUGUGUGAAGAAGGUCUUCGGAUUGUAAAGCACUUUAAGUUGGGAGGAAGGGCAGUAAAUUAAUACUUUGCUGUUUUGACGUUACCGACAGAAUAAGCACCGGCUAACUCUGUGCCAGCCGCCG
This 513-nucleotide ribosomal RNA is filed under the name uncultured bacterium. RNAcentral describes it as "bacterial SSU rRNA". It matches the Rfam family "Bacterial small subunit ribosomal RNA", at positions 9 to 517 of the family's 1533-position model. The record is from RNAcentral.